UACGUAGGGGGCGAGCGUUGUCCGGAUUUACUGGGCGUAAAGAGCGUGUAGGCGGCCAGGCCGGUCUGUUGUGAAAACUGGAGGCUCAACCUCCAGACGUCGACAGAAACCGCUUGGCUAGAGUCCGGAAGAGGAGAGUGGAAUUCCUGGUGUAGCGGUGAAAUGCGCAGAUAUCAGGAAGAACACCGAUGGCGAAGGCAGCUCUCUGGGACGGUACUGACGCUGAGACGCGAAAGCGUGGGGAGCGAACAGGAUUAGAUACCCUGGUAGUCCACGCCGUAAACGAUGGGUGCUAGGUGUGGGAGGUGUCGACUCCUCCCGUGCCGCAGCUAACGCAUUAAGCACCCCGCCUGGGGAGUACGGCCGCAAGGCUAAA
This 376-nucleotide ribosomal RNA is filed under the name uncultured bacterium. Its description in RNAcentral is "bacterial SSU rRNA". It matches the Rfam family "Bacterial small subunit ribosomal RNA", at positions 524 to 898 of the family's 1533-position model. The record is from RNAcentral.